GCGAUGAAUCAGGCAGCCGCCCGGCCCGCAAGCCGGGAGGAAAGUCCGGACUCCGCAGGGCGCGAUGCCGGGUAACGCCCGGACAGGGGAUGUAAAAAGUCCUUCGGGGCAAAGGAUCCCUUGAUAGACAGUGCAACAGAAAAAAAACCCCCUUAUUACCCCCGGGUAAAAGGGAAGGGUGAAAUGGCGGGGUAAGAGCCCACCCCGGCGCCGGCAACGGCGCCGGUAUUUUCCGGGGUUCCCGGAAAAUGGCAAACCUCAUCGGGAGCAAGGUCAAGCAGCGUGUAAAAGGCCUGCCUUUUACAAUGGAGGUUCCGCCCCGGCAGGGGAGGGGCCUUCGUGCCGGCGGCCCGCCGGUUAAACGCGGGUAGACCGCAGGGAGGCAGCCGGUAACGGCUGUCCCAGACAGAUGGCUGCCCUAAGCCCGGCUUUGGGGCCCCGGCGUGGAGUUUUCACGGCGAACCUCAAAAUCCGGGCUUAAACAGAAUCCGGCUUAUGGUUCAUCGCUUUU
Molecule: RNase P RNA, 511 nt
Filed under: Spirochaetaceae bacterium
Lineage: Bacteria; Pseudomonadati; Spirochaetota; Spirochaetia; Spirochaetales; Spirochaetaceae
Description: RNase P RNA component class A
Rfam family: Bacterial RNase P class A
About the family: Ribonuclease P (RNase P) is a ubiquitous endoribonuclease, found in archaea, bacteria and eukarya as well as chloroplasts and mitochondria.
Source: RNAcentral